UAGCAUGUUUUAAGCGACCACCUACUCGU
Molecule: small RNA, 29 nt
Filed under: Bombyx mori (domestic silkworm)
Lineage: Eukaryota; Metazoa; Arthropoda; Insecta; Lepidoptera; Bombycidae
Description: piRNA piR-bmo-1376320
Source: RNAcentral